CUGCUGUGCCACAAACAUGCCCGCUAAGAACUUAGCGAUUGUGUGGGCUCCCAACCUCUUCAGAUCCCAGCAGAACGAGUCUGCCUGCGCCAGCGGACAAGCUGCCUGCAUGGAACUGCAGAGGCAGUUGGACGUGGUAGAAUUCAUCAUCAGCCACACAGACGUCCUCUUCUGCUCCAGAUCCACAUCAGGCAUCGGAGAUGGAGCAGGUGAGCGCCUUCCUGCAUUAGCUUUGUCUUGAUCAGACACCUUGACCUUCUCCAAGAUCGCUGAAAGAUGCUUUUACUAUCGAGGGGCCAGCAGGCUUGUGGGCGUAGAUUAGAAUAUAGCAUCCUGUGGCUGGAUGCUGAGAAUGUCCAAGCCCAAACUUGAGAAGGAGAAAACCGUCCCUGUCACGAUGAUGUUUUGCACGCAGGUGAAGCUUGAUGAAAGCGUGGCAGCAAAGCUUUCUGAGUUCCCUGCCCCCCUCUUCUUGGGUUUUUGUUUGCCUGUUUCGAUACAGUGAGCUGCUGUGAAUGAUGACCAUGUUCUUUGCCAUGAACGUACCUCUGACCACACGGUUCUUUUGACCUCCUCUUCUUCCAGUGGCUCGGAUAAGCAAGUCUGAGAAGCGGGCAGCACCUCCCCCAGAACUGUGAUGGCUGUGCUGCUGCUUUCUGAUCCUCCCUCUUAGCUGUGGUCUUCCCUUCCAGGGCACAGUUCUCCAUCAGGGCCUGAGUCUGUGCGGGUGUCUUCUCCCGCCACCAAGCUGCUCACCGUGGAGGAGGCACAGGCACAGAGGCGAGGCCACAGCAGCUCUCCCGCACUGGCAGACAGCAGGGACAUCGAAGUGGAAGAAGGCCCCGCAGCUGCAGGGGGUAAAAUCCACGCAGUCAUCGACUUUCCAUCUGAAAGACCAAGCAAGAUGAAGGAACCAGCAGCUGGCAGUUGGUGUUCCUGCUUCAGGCCUGAGAGAAGCCAUCCUCUGUGGCCAAACGCCAACUGCAGCGCAAGUGCCAGGGAGCCCUCAGAAACAGAGGUCGUGGUCCUGGCAGGUAAGGGUGCACAUCCCGCUUUCAAAACACUGCUUGUCAGCGCCAUCGAAUUCAUGCUUUCAGUGGGCUUGUACCUCCUUCUAGCAUUCAAGCCCGUGCCUAACAUCUUCAGUUCAGCCCUGUCUUUCUUUCCCAGAUGAGUCUCUUGUGAAGUCAAGAUCUGGACCUGCUGGAGGACCCCCGUCUCGUGCCUUUCCCCAAGUAGUUUUUGAAAGACAGGAGAUGGGCACCACUGCAAUAUGUUUCAGCAUGAUUCCUUAUGACUUUUAUUAUGGAGCCGUUGUGGCUCCAGGUUUCCAUUGUAUCAGCAGGCACACAUUUAAACUCUGUAACACUGCAACAGCGUGAAGGUUUUGUGCAAGGGCUUUGGAGUCCAAACAAAAGAGAAAGAAAAACAACAAAAGCACAGCAGUUCCUUUCAAGAUAGUGGUACUACUGUUGCUAUUGUCCUAUUGGCUUUGUCCUGCUGCCGCUACAUAACCAAAUCUCAAGAACCACUCUCAUAAUUCAGCGUGUGAAAGUUUGACACUAACGCCUGUGUAUCUACUCCUUCCUAGGUGAAUCGAGCCCUUCGUCCACGUAGAAGAGCCAGAGCGUAAUAGCGAUGGUUCACUGUGUGCUUCCAUCAAUGCAGAGCUGCUAGGAAGCACGAAUCGCUGCAGCUCGGAUGAUAGCCUUCCAUAUAACACCAGUGAUGGAAUGAAGGUGAUCAUUCAAGUGGAAGCCCUCAUUCUCUCCCGGCUGUGCUGAAGACGCUGACCUGAGCCUGCCAGAACACAGCAGUCACUGAGCUGGACUGUGACGGGGCGCCAUUGCAGUGCAGCCCAGCCCAAGCACAGCCCGAGUGCCCCGACAGCAGCACCUCCAUGCGGGAUCAGGUCAGUGUCAGCGAGGAGGAGCCGAGCCUUGUGGAAGGGGACUUAGAAUCAGAGCUCCAGUCCCAGGCACUGGGCAGCAGCACGAGCUCUGAGCCCCUCUCUCCUGAACAAGAGAGGAUGUGUCCCAUGUGUCCACCA
This is a long non-coding RNA of Gallus gallus (chicken), 2050 nucleotides long. RefSeq lists it as uncharacterized. NCBI's taxonomy places the organism in Eukaryota, Metazoa, Chordata, Aves, Galliformes, Phasianidae. The transcript has 3 exons. The record is from RefSeq and is a predicted model, not a curated record.